Molecule: ribosomal RNA, 502 nt
Filed under: uncultured bacterium
Lineage: Bacteria
Description: partial 16S ribosomal RNA
Rfam family: Bacterial small subunit ribosomal RNA
Source: RNAcentral
GACGAACGCUGGCGGCGUGCCUAAUACAUGCAAGUCGAACGAACCGCGACUAGGUGCUUGCACUUGGUCAAGGUGAGUGGCGAACGGGUGAGUAACACGUGGGUAACCUACCUCAUAGUGGGGGAUAACAGUCGGAAACGACUGCUAAAACCGCAUAGGACAUAGGAUCACAUGAUCCAGUGAGGAAAGGUGGCGCAAGCUAUCGCUAAGAGAUGGACCCGCGGUGCAUUAGCUAGUUGGUAGGGUAAAGGCCUACCAAGGCGAUGAUGCAUAGCCGACCUGAGAGGGUGAUCGGCCACAUUGGGACUGAGACACGGCCCAAACUCCUACGGGAGGCAGCAGUAGGGAAUCUUCCGCAAUGGACGCAAGUCUGACGGAGCAACGCCGCGUGAGUGAAGAAGGUCUUCGGAUCGUAAAGCUCUGUUGUCAGAGAAGAACAGCGCAUAGAGUAACUGUUAUGCGUGUGACGGUAUCUAACCAGAAAGCCACGGCUAACUACGUG